AACGAACGCUGGCGGCAUGCCUAACACAUGCAAGUCGAACGAGACCUUCGGGUCUAGUGGCGCACGGGUGCGUAACGCGUGGGAAUCUGCCCUUGGGUUCGGAAUAACAGUUGGAAACGACUGCUAAUACCGGAUGAUGACGUAAGUCCAAAGAUUUAUCGCCCAGGGAUGAGCCCGCGUAGGAUUAGCUAGUUGGUGGGGUAAAGGCCUACCAAGGCGACGAUCCUUAGCUGGUCUGAGAGGAUGAUCAGCCACACUGGGACUGAGACACGGCCCAGACUACUACGGGAGGCAGCAGUGGGGAAUAUUGGACAAUGGGCGGAAGCCUGAUCCAGCAAUGCCGCGUGAGUGAUGAAGGCCUUAGGGUUGUAAAGCUCUUUUACCCGGGAUGAUAAUGACAGUACCGGGAGAAUAAGCCCCGGCUAACUCCGUG
Molecule: ribosomal RNA, 433 nt
Filed under: uncultured bacterium
Lineage: Bacteria
Description: partial 16S ribosomal RNA
Rfam family: Bacterial small subunit ribosomal RNA
Source: RNAcentral